AUUUUCCUACGGGGGGCAGCAGUAGGGAAUCUUCCACAAUGGGCGAAAGCCUGAUGGAGCAACGCCGCGCGGGUGAAGAAGGUCUUCGGAUCGUAAAACCCUGUUGUUAGAGAAGAAAGUGCGUGAGAGUAACUAUUCACGUUUCGACUGUAUCUAACCAGAAAGCCACGGCUAACUACGUGCCAGCAGCCGCGGUAAUACGUAGGUGGCAAGCGUUAUCCGGAUUUAUU
Molecule: ribosomal RNA, 230 nt
Filed under: uncultured bacterium
Lineage: Bacteria
Description: partial 16S ribosomal RNA
Rfam family: Bacterial small subunit ribosomal RNA
Source: RNAcentral